Molecule: ribosomal RNA, 407 nt
Filed under: uncultured bacterium
Lineage: Bacteria
Description: partial 16S ribosomal RNA
Rfam family: Bacterial small subunit ribosomal RNA
Source: RNAcentral
AUUGAACGCUGGCGGCAGGCCUAACACAUGCAAGUCGAGCGGAGCGGCGGACGGGUGAGUAAUGCCUAGUAAUCUGCCUGGUAGUGGGGGAUAACGUCCGGAAACGGGCGCUAAUACCGCAUACUAUCAGAUGAGCCUAGGUCGGAUUAGCUAGUUGGUGGGGUAAAGGCUUACCUAGGCGACGAUCCGUAGCUGGUCUGAGAGUAUGAUCAGUCACACUGGAACUGAGACACGGGCCAGACUCCUACGGGAGGCAGCAGUGGGGAAUAUUGGACAAUGGGCGAAAGCCUGACCCAGCCAUGCCGCGUGUGUGAAGAAGGUCUUCGGAUUGUAAAGCACUUUAAGUUGGGAGGCGUUACCUACAGAAUAAGCACCGGCUAACUUCGUGCCAGCAGCCGCGGUAAUUC